This 1178-nucleotide long non-coding RNA is filed under the name Ursus maritimus (polar bear). Its description in RNAcentral is "lncRNA (ENSUMAG00000017632.1)". Lineage: Eukaryota; Metazoa; Chordata; Mammalia; Carnivora; Ursidae. The record is from RNAcentral.
AUGCACAAUUUGAUGUCCUUAAAGUUAAGAUUUCAGUGUAUAGACACUUUAAGGUGGAAUCAUUUUUGGAUGCCGUUUGUCCUGGUUUUCAUUUUGGAUCUCUUCUCCUGCACCUCCCCUCCCCCCACCCUUGCAGGAGCACCGUGCGGCAAGUCACCAGGGUGGUCCGUCCAAGCUGCGGAUUUGUGUGUCGUCCUUGUAAGGCAGUCUCCUCCUCCGCGGCCCCUACAGGGAAGUGCCUCACAUAUCAGAAGAAAGUGGUUCGUGAAGAAGUCUGCGUUUGACUUGGUGACAAUCGGCUGUGGGUGUGUCAGGCUCGAGCCUGGUCGUCCUCAUUGUCACCUUUUCCUGAACGCGAUGAGACCGUUUCGCUGCCAAACUGUGACCGUAAGUCACGGUUCUCGCGUUUUAGGUUUUUGUUGUAGAGUGAUCCAGGCAUAGGGAUACAGAGGCCUGUUUGUUCAGUGGCAACCAGUAUUUGUCGAAUCUUGAGUGUCUUUGUGUCUGUUGGGAUUUUACAACUUCCUGAUUGCCUCACGUACAGUAAAUUUUUCUGGCCUGGAGAGUCAUGCAGACACAGGGUGUAUGCGGUGUGGAUGACUCAUGGUUCUAUAUUGAAGAGAGGACAAGAGGAUCCUGCCUGCAUGAAAUUGGGAGACAUGGAAGUUAGACAGAACCUGGGGCAAGAGGGCUUGGGAGCACUGGUAUAUGCAACCCAAGGGGAUUGUGAAAUAGAUCCCCUCUUGCUAUUUACCUUGGGAGCGGUCCUCUGGAACCUGUGGAAAUGGACUCUAUUCAGAGGUUCCCGAGCCUGGCUGGGCAACAGAAUCACCUGGAGAGCUGAAGGAAAGAGAGAGACAGAGAGAGAAAAAGGAUUUGGGGCUCCACCUCUUGAAUCAAAAUGAACCUUUCAUGGUCCCUUGGAAUCCUACUGAUGCCCCACAGGUUUGGGAACUGCUGGGUCGGGUGGUCUCUGGGCAGGUGUUCCUGAGUCAUGUUCUAUUUCCUUGCUUGGCGAGACACACAGUCUGCCGUGACCACACCUCACAUAGAAGGUUCUCAAUUUGCAGCUAACUUGUUAAGAGGUAGAUAUUUGCUUUACCAAAAUGUUCAGUGGAAAACUGAUUCACCAGCUUUCUUUAAAUAAAGGGCUCCCCCUCUAUACCUAAGAUUGAGUU